Molecule: long non-coding RNA, 250 nt
Filed under: Solanum tuberosum (potato)
Lineage: Eukaryota; Viridiplantae; Streptophyta; Magnoliopsida; Solanales; Solanaceae
Description: long non-coding RNA (STUB_LNC001102)
Source: RNAcentral
UAUCCAUGUUGUUAGUGAUUAUUUAUGGUAAAAAUAUCAUAUCAAUUAUUUUCUUUUCCUAUUCAACUUUAGACAGAUUCGUGCAUUCCUACUUUGGAAGUUGAGUUAUUUUCAUGCUUUGAUUGGCUACCUUUUACUUUUAUAAGGAAAUAAUAUUUCCUAAUGGUAAGUGUAAAAUUAAUAAGUAAAAGUGUGUACUACUUCUUUCCUUAUAAUCUUCUAUUGUUGAUUGUAAUAUUAGUUGAUNNNN